GGCCUGUGCUCAGUUGGUGAGAACAUGGUGCUAGUAACACCCAGGUCAUGGGUUUGAUCCCUCUAUGGGCCA
Molecule: non-coding RNA, 72 nt
Organism: Lamprotornis superbus
Lineage: Eukaryota; Metazoa; Chordata; Aves; Passeriformes; Sturnidae
Source: the annotation of a GenBank genome assembly